This 462-nucleotide ribosomal RNA is filed under the name uncultured Hydrogenophaga sp. RNAcentral's name for it is "bacterial SSU rRNA". It matches the Rfam family "Bacterial small subunit ribosomal RNA", at positions 1 to 467 of the family's 1533-position model. The record is from RNAcentral. Lineage: Bacteria; Pseudomonadati; Pseudomonadota; Betaproteobacteria; Burkholderiales; Comamonadaceae.
UUUAGAGUUUGAUUCCCUGGCUCAGAUUGAACGCUGGCGGCAUGCCUUACACAUGCAAGUCGAACGGUAACAGGCCGCAAGGUGCUGACGAGUGGCGAACGGGUGAGUAAUGCAUCGGAACGUGCCCAGUCGUGGGGGAUAACGCAGCGAAAGCUGCGCUAAUACCGCAUACGAUCUAUGGAUGAAAGCGGGGGACUCGCAAGAGCCUCGCGCGAUUGGAGCGGCCGAUGUCAGAUUAGGUAGUUGGUGGGGUAAAGGCUCACCAAGCCGACGAUCUGUAGCUGGUCUGAGAGGACGACCAGCCACACUGGAACUGAGACACGGUCCAGACUCCUACGGGAGGCAGCAGUGGGGAAUUUUGGACAAUGGGCGCAAGCCUGAUCCAGCAAUGCCGCGUGCAGGAAGAAGGCCUUCGGGUUGUAAACUUGCUUUUGUACGGAACGAAACGGUCCGGGUAAUACC